UGGGGAAUCUUGGACAAUGGGCGCAAGCCUGAUCCAGCCAUGCCGCGUGAGUGAAGAAGGCCUUCGGGUUGUAAAGCUCUUUUGUCAGGGACGAUAAUGACGGUACCUGAAGAAUAAGCCCCGGCAAACUUCGUGCCAGCAGCCGCGGUAAUACGAAGGGGGCUAGCGUUGUUCGGAAUUACUGGGCGUAAAGCGCACGUAGGCUGAUUGUUAAGUCAGGGGUGAAAUCCCAGAGCUCAACUCUGGAACUGCCCUUGAUACUGGCAAUCUCGAGUCCGGAAGAGGUUAGUGGAAUUCCCAGUGUAGAGGUGAAAUUCGUAGAUAUUGGGAAGAACACCAGUGGCGAAGGCGGCUAACUGGUCCGGUACUGACGCUGAGGUGCGAAAGCGUGGGGAGCAAACAGGAUUAGAUACCCAAGUAGUCCCUGAGCGGGCUGGCAAG
This 441-nucleotide ribosomal RNA is filed under the name uncultured bacterium. Its description in RNAcentral is "bacterial SSU rRNA". It matches the Rfam family "Bacterial small subunit ribosomal RNA", at positions 355 to 819 of the family's 1533-position model. The record is from RNAcentral.